RNAcentral lists this long non-coding RNA (478 nucleotides) under Sus scrofa (pig). Its description in RNAcentral is "lncRNA (ENSSSCG00015011892.1)". The record is from RNAcentral. Lineage: Eukaryota; Metazoa; Chordata; Mammalia; Artiodactyla; Suidae.
AGAUGGGCGAUGACUUCGUGUGAGAAGAAACUGUCCACGUGUCCAGAGCAGAACAUCAAACAUAACAGAGGAAACUCACAGCCUCGCCUGUCUCUGGAGAUGAAACUACCAUGUGUAUUACCGGCCCACAAAGAAGCCAAAGUGAGGGAACAGAGGAUCCGAAUGAAAAGUGAAUCUCACAGCUCCUGGGGUGACUGCCUAGAAAAGCAACUCACUCACCAACCCCUUCAGAUCCAAUGGAUGGACAUGGGUCAGUAGCAGAGUUGUAGCAGGUGGUGUGCGAUUCCUGGAUUGCCUUGAGAGAGCAGUUCUACAAGGAGUGCAGUUGCUUCACUUUUCAAUCACAGCCUCCUGCCUCUCAAUCCACAGGAAGCGUGGAAAGAAGAACAGAUUAUUCUCCAUUCCCUUUCUCUGCUCCUAUCUGUAUUUUUCACAGGCAAAUUGGAAUAAAGAUAUCUGGGAGCAGUAAGAGGCUGCA